UUUUAUCUAACUUCUUUGAACGUUUCUAACAAUUUUCUUUCGUACCAGGAACAAAAUGUACAAUUUUAAAAUACGAUCGCAUGCAACGACUAAAGACUAUAAUAAAAUUGAUACGAUAAUGCAAUUUGUAUAAAAUUAAUAUGUAUUCAUAAAUUUAUUUACAGAUAUAUAUAUACACCCGACCGUAGUUCAAAAUUACACCUGCAUAUCAUUGUUGUAUUAUCCAAACGGGAAACUAUUGUAAAAUAUUACGUACUUCAAAUAAGUACAUACAUAGAAAACAUAGCAGAUGCAACCCUCCAAACACACUUUGAAAAUGUGUAGCGGACGUGUAUCUACAGUCACGCCUCUGCAGACCGCUUAUACAACUAUACCUCAAAUGAUAAAACAGACCAACAACACAUAAAACAAUGAGAACAAUAGCUAAUGGCAUUAUACACACUACACGACACACAACGCAUUGUACUCACCACGUGUUCCAAAGACUUAUUUCAACUACUUAUUAUACUUAUUAGAUACAGUUUUAUUAAUAAAGUUUUCUAUAUUCGUUAAUCAUUUUGUAUAUCUUUAAUCUCGUGGUAUUAGUAAGCAGUGAUACCACAAAUGUUGUUUGCAAGCGCCAUCUACUGGGACGGGAAUUUUUUUGAAGCCCGAACUGUUUAUACACGUAUGUAUUACGUGUUGCCUAUCUUUCGGGCAAAAAAUUCCGCCCCAACAGACGGCACUCGCAAGCGACAUUUUCAAAGUGUGUCUGAAAGGUUGCAUACCUACAGGUACACAAAUUUAAAAUAAUUAAAUAAAUAAUUAUAAAAAAA
Molecule: long non-coding RNA, 815 nt
Organism: Polistes dominula (European paper wasp)
Lineage: Eukaryota; Metazoa; Arthropoda; Insecta; Hymenoptera; Vespidae
Source: RefSeq, a predicted model, not a curated record